GACGAACGCUGGCGGCGUGCCUAAUGCAUGCAAGUCGCACGCGGCACCUUCGGGUGCUGAGUGGCGAGCGGCUGAGGAACACGUGGGGACCUGUCCGGGAGUGGGGGACAACACCGCGAAAGCGGUGCUAAUCCCGCAUACGCUCUGAGGAGGAAAGCCGAAAGGCGCUCCCGGGUGGCCCUGCGGCCCAUCAGGUUGUUGGUGGGGUAACGGCCUACCAAGCCAAUGACGGGUCGCUGGUCUGUGAGGACGACCAGCCAGACUGGGACUGGGACACGGCCCAGACUCCUACGGGAGGCAGCAGCAAGGAAUUUUCGGCAAUGGGCGCAAGCCUGACCGAGCAACGCCGCGUGCAGGAAGACGGCCUUCGGGUUGUAAACUGCUUUUGCUAGGGAGGAUAACAGACAGUACCUGGCGAAUCAGCCCCGGCUAACUCUGUG
RNAcentral lists this ribosomal RNA (440 nucleotides) under uncultured bacterium. Its description in RNAcentral is "partial 16S ribosomal RNA". It matches the Rfam family "Bacterial small subunit ribosomal RNA", at positions 28 to 507 of the family's 1533-position model. The record is from RNAcentral.